This 292-nucleotide ribosomal RNA is filed under the name uncultured bacterium. Its description in RNAcentral is "partial 16S ribosomal RNA". It matches the Rfam family "Bacterial small subunit ribosomal RNA", at positions 505 to 796 of the family's 1533-position model. The record is from RNAcentral.
GUGUCAGCCGCCGCGGUAAGACGAACCGAGCGAACGUUGUUCGGAAUCACUGGGCUUAAAGGGGGCGUAGGCGGGCUAUCAAGUCUGGGGUGAAAUGCCACGGCUCAACCGUGGAACGGCCUCAGAUACUGACGGCCUCGAGGGAGGUAGGGGCAUGCGGAACUGUAGGUGGAGCGGUGAAAUGCGUUGAUAUCUACAGGAACUCCGGUGGCGAAAGCGGCGUGCUGGACCUCUUCUGACGCUGAGGCCCGAAAGCUAGGGGAGCAAACGGGAUUAGAUACCCUAGUAGUCC